UAAGUUCCAUUUUUUAUUGGAUUCUUUACUGUUAGCAUAGAUUGUCAUCAUUUCAGCCCUUUUGCUGUGAAUUAUUUCCGGAUUUUGUUGCACUGUUAGGUCAAGUUGUGGGGGUUCCUUUAUUUAUUUCAUUUUCUGUCAUUUUCUCUCAUUUUGGGGAUGCAUCUCUCUAUUCUGUGUAUUGUUCUUUGUUUUAAGGUCAGUUUUCUUCUUCUUUUCUUUUCUUUUGUUUUUUUGGGUUUUUCUUUUGUGGGCUUUCAGUGAGUUGAUAUUUUCAUUUUCCGUUUUGCUGUGAAUUUUCUUCAAUUUGAUCGAACAUCUCGAUACGAACAGUUGAUUUUCAAUUUAUCUUUAAUUUUCUAGAGGCCUGUUGGUUGCAUGUACAAGAAAUACUUUUAUAUUAUGUUUCAAUUUCAAAGUUGUUUGAUAUAUGACCUUUAGUUUGUAUUCUUAUAUGGAAUUGUGCAAGGUUGCCACUCUUUGCCCCCUUUCGAUUGUGAUCGAGUUUAUUGUUUUGUUCUUUCUUAUUGUAAAUGUCAUUUUGUUUGUAAAGUUUAGUUUAUAAACUGUACUUCUAUUUACUCUUUAAAUUUAUUUUUUGUUUAUGUUGUCGUUUCUUGAUUUUAGUUUCUGUGGAUUUAUAUGGUUCUGAUUACAGAAAGUAUUGUCAUUGGACAAAAACUCUUACAAGCAAGCCGCAAAUCUGUUCAAAGAAACGAAGAUCUGUUAAUAUCAAAUACGUCAGCCAUUGGCAAUGGAAUAAAAGUUGGGUCGUGGGAGGAAGAAGCUGGUUCGUUGCCAUUUUUAGGUAUAUAAUCAUGUGCCCUGAUAGCAUAUUCAAAGCCUAUUUAGUUAUAUGGAUUUUUUAUUUAUCUUUCUAAAACUUUUGUGCCUAGAUUUUAAAUAUGUGAUUGGUAAUUUCUUA
Pyrus x bretschneideri (Chinese white pear) is the source of this 925-nucleotide long non-coding RNA. RefSeq lists it as uncharacterized. The transcript has 2 exons. The record is from RefSeq and is a predicted model, not a curated record. Lineage: Eukaryota; Viridiplantae; Streptophyta; Magnoliopsida; Rosales; Rosaceae.